This 240-nucleotide ribosomal RNA is filed under the name Triticum aestivum (bread wheat). RNAcentral's name for it is "partial small subunit ribosomal RNA". It matches the Rfam family "Eukaryotic large subunit ribosomal RNA", at positions 1859 to 2095 of the family's 3401-position model. Lineage: Eukaryota; Viridiplantae; Streptophyta; Magnoliopsida; Poales; Poaceae. The record is from RNAcentral.
UCAGGUCUCCAAGGUGAACAGCCUCUGGCCAAUGGAACAAUGUAGGCAAGGGAAGUCGGCAAAACGGAUCCGUAACUUUGGGAAAAGGAUUGGCUCUGAGGACUGGGCUCGGGGGUCCAGGCCCCGAACCCGUCGGCUGUCGGCGGAUUGCUCGAGCUGCUCACGCGGCGAGAGCGGGUCGCCGCGUGCCGGCCGGGGGACGGAUCGGGAAUCGCCCCUUCGGGGGCUUUCCCUGAGCAU